GGUGCUUUGGUUUGUUUUGUCUUAGUUUUGACUUGGUAAGGUAUCUUGCCGAUGAGUUUAUGCAUGUCAAGGCUAUAUAAAAAGUAUUCUUUGCAGCUUUUUUUUCCUUAAUAAGUCCUAGUGUCUCCACAAAGUAUAGUCACCACUACCAGGGAAGUGUGCAUACCUGGCUGUCUUCUGCUGGAGUACGGAUGGGAUGGGAUGGGGCUGCCUUGCUGCUACUGAAACGGGCGUUCGUGCUCAGGGCGGCUGGCACAGCCCCAGCGGCAUGGCCGGUCCCUCCACGUCCAUGGACUGCGAUGUCUCUUCAGCCCCGCUCGUGCCUUUCCUGUCUUCAUCUGCUGCUCUGGGUGAGCUGACCGAGUUGACUCACUGAAAGGUCAGAUUUGGUCUAUUACUGGUUUUAUCCCUGCCCCAUCCACAUAGCAACAUUUCCAGCUAAUGGGAGGAAUGCAAAGGAGGAGUGACAUUGCUGUUUGCUUUGAUAAGAGCGAGCCUCGCUUUUAUUGCCAACUAAUCAAAUGAGGUCCAAAGGAUUGGAAGCAAAACGUUUGUUUUUGAAAGAACUUGUUCUGUUUGUUUUCUGACCAAACUACUUAAAGAAUCCUGAUUACCCAACCAUUAGCAAGGAAGGACAGGACUGUCUUAGGUCCAGCAGACUUUCAGGGUUGACCACGGUCUACACCAGUGAGCUUCAGAGAGGACCAGAUCAGACAACGAACUGCAGCCCUCUAUCAAAACCGGGUCCACAUCCACAGCAGCUGGAAAGAUGGAUGCCAGCAGCUGGUAAGGCUUUGACUAUCUCCACCCAUAUAUUCAAGCUGCUCACCUUAGAGCUUCAAGAGCGGUUAGCCCUGGAAGCACCACUCACUUCCAUCCCGAUGCUCCGGGCUGCUCAGUGCGCCCUUUGGACAGCAGCAGAGCUGGCCCCUGCCCCCGCCAGCAAAGCCUCCUGGGAAUAAGGAUGGCAUUUUCAUGCCAUGGGGCCUUUGUGGGUGACUUUUAAAGAAAUGAGCUUAAUAAGGAACCUAAUGGUGAUGUAAUAGGGAAGGAAAUUGUCUGGCAGUGUCACCUAAAGUGGGUGAUCCUUUAUGCAAUCAUACCCUGUUUUUUUUCCCACAUCAGAAGUAUUUCUACAUUGAGUUUUAUUUCCUUUUUUUUUUUCCCCCCAGGAAUCUUGGCUAAAUAAAUAAAUAAAUAAAUUUGGAACUUGGUUCAUCUUUUGGACACCAAUGAUUAUUCUCUGACACUUUGCUUUUCUAAUUGCAAGUGGGUAGGAACAAGGCCCUUAAUCUUCUAUCUCCUCUCUAAAUUUUGACAAGGGUUUGGUUUGUGGUAUGAUCUACUGAUAAAAAGCUUCCUGGUAGCUCUUCGUUUGCGACAGAAGGACUGAGCACAGGUACAUUGGCUUUUGUCUGUGGGGUAACCGCAACCAUUUGUUUCUGUUGGCAGCUAAAACACAGCUGAUUCUGUUUUCUUCACAAGCUUGUACUUGUGUGAAAAAUCUACAGAUUAAAAACAAGACCUCAUUUUUGGAACAUAUCAGUUGUGUUUGUAUGUGCAGAGAGGUGUGGGGGGGUUUGUUUUGGUUUUCAUAUAAUGAACACUGUACAUUCAGUCUCUGAAUACAGCUUAUAUCCAUUCUAUACGUGGUAGUUGCAUAUUUGUAUAUUUAAAGCCUGUACCAAAUCUUUCUGCUACCUUAAGUUUAAUUUUUAAGGAUGAUAUUGAUUGCUGCAGUCAUUCCGUUGUUAAUGUUAGUGUGAGUUUAAAUCAUCCUCUGGCUCAGGAAGUGCCAGCAGUGCUGCCUGCAGCCCGGAGCGGGGAUUCCAGGUGGACUCGCGCUGUCUUUACCUUGCUUGCGGUACUGCUCUCUACAGAUCUGCUGCUGGCCGCUGCUGGAAGCAGGUUAGUGGGUCUGGUGGCUGCUCCUCCAGCUGAUGAAUCGUAGCAGUUGGUAGUUAAAUAGUUAUUUUCUGUGUGCUUUUUUCGCAGAAAUAGAUUACAGAAAGUGUUUCGGAUCUACAUUUUGCAUGUGGUUUGUAUUUGCUAAGUUUUCUGAAUCUGCGUUUCCUUUGUUUCUACAUUGCCUUUCCCACUUGGCCAAAAAUUUUGAGGUGUGAAAAUGUCUGACUUUAUAUUUUCUAUUUUAUUUAUUUCACUGAGCUUUUCCUAAUCCUUCAUGUAAUUUCCUAGACUUUUUUGUUAUUGCUGCGUAACUGUAUGAGCCAAUUGUACACCACAGGGCACAAGGCAGUUUGGCUAGGAGAGGCACUCACUUCCAACACAGAGUUGUAUUUCUCCACACAAGUUUCUUCUAACUUUAGGUUUUAGCUUAAUGCUACAAAGAUUGAAAACUUUUAGUAGUUACCUAAAUUAAUCUUUCUCCUCCCUGCAAGACACAAACACAUCUAGUUAAAUACAUAACGGAUUCUAUUAAUUCUGUUUCUUACAAGGAACUAAUUACUGUAGUCUUCUUCCUUUACUCAAAAAUGGGAGAAUCACGUAACACUUAAGUCCAUUGUGAAUGUCCUUACCCAUGGCACAUGAUACUCUGUAAGUUAGGAUGAAAUGAGAGAGAAAAUUAUGUAGUUUAUAAAUCCUCUUAUAAACCACAGUAAUUUUGGUUUUCCCCUCAAUUUUAAAAGAUACAAACUCAUCCCAUGUUGCUCCCUCCUUCCCAUAGUUAAUGUUGCUUUAUAUCUGGGCAGAAGUAAUUUGUGCAAGACAUAUUGCUUAUAGGACAGUGCCUAAAAAUAUUGCAAAAGGUCACUGCACAUCAGACAGAAGGCAGCACUUGUUCCAGCCGCUUGCUCUGAGAACUACAGGUCUUUGUUAAUAUUAAUUGUGUAUAUUUUAAACAGCGCAUGUUUUAAAAAUACACUGCGCAAACAUGCAGCGAUGAACAUUUGUAAGCCCAGGGACAGGAUAAUGGAGGUCAGAUCUUCACUGAUGAUUUUAGGCAUAAAUAUUUGCUGUUCUUAUUGACUUCAAGGUUUGUGAAUUAGAGCCAUAUUGUGCGUGUGCUUCCAGGAAAGUGGGUACGCUCACCGUAUCCAAAAAUACAAGUGAAAUAAAAAUAGUAACGAAGAUGUAUAAAGUACCAAGAAGAUUCAGAGCUAAUCAUUUGCACAAACAUUCACCGUGAUUGUGCUUAUAAUAGUAACUAUGUACGCAGAACAUGGGAAAAAAUCCGCUGGGAGAUCAAGGCCAGAUUCUCUCUGUGCUUAGAAGAAGUUGAGCUGCCGUGAGGAGGUAGACUUCCAGCAUCGACAGCCUCCUGCUCCUCUCCGCCUGCCCUGAUAGCUACUGGCCCAAGGAUGCACCUACCAGGAGGGCUCAGGGCUUUCCCGGCCACCCUGCUCCCUCGGGAGCUGCAAAUGGCUCGCAAAAGGCAGAGGUGGCAAGCUGCUCCGUGGGCUGGCGGAGGCUGCAGCUGGGUUGUCCCCAGGGGUUAUCUUCUUUCUUACGACACUGGUACAGCUGGGAAAGGGUGAAUGAAAACUAGCCCCCAAAACGUAAUACACGCAUACAUUCAUCUUUUGUGACAUCCUUUCAUGUGAGCCCAGACACAAAUCAAAAGACACAAUUCUCUCUUCAGGCGGACAUUAUCUAAGAAUGAUGUUUUUACAAAAAAACCCUCCUGAUUCUGAAACUUUUAAAUGUCUCCAGAGAAAAGGCUGCAACCCUAACACCUGGACACCAUUCCCAUCAAGGCCAUCUCACUCCAGCAUGCUUGGUUGGUUUUGUAAUUUAUUCUUACUAAGAAAAUAUUGAAAAUGUCUGAUUCUGGUGUUGCAGCAAAGGCAGUGAAGCCGUACAUGUACACCGUUGUUUAUAAUGUGACAGAGUGCUGCAUGGCAAUUUACAAACCAAAUUUCUGUUGCUAUUGACUAUGGCUUUUUUUUUGAAAACUGGUGCAUAAAUAUGUUUACAAAGGUAACUGUUCACACAGAUUUUGGAAAAAAAAAAAAAAAGAAUGAAGUGUGGUGAAAGUGAUAGUGUCACAAGUCUGGAAGGUGACGCUGCAUAGGUAAAAUCAUUUCAGAAACUCUUCAAGUGUUAAGCUUAUUACAAUAAAUAUUAAUUCUCUUUUGGAAGAAAGAUUGAAGUAAAACAAAUGGGGUGCUUGCAAAGAAAAUGGUUUGAAAGGAAGUAAUGGGCACAUGUUGACAUUUCCUGCUUUUACAUCAAUUUUUUUAAAAUAAAUUAUGAAAUAGCCUUGAGUAGAAUAAUUGUGUUUAGUAGUGUGGUAUGAAGACAAGCAUUUCGAGCAUCCCAGCAGGGCUGCCUUGCACGGUACCUCUCUUCUGUUGUGUUCGACCACCCCAUUUCAUCUCUGCCCAAUGCACGCUUUUAUUUUGCUUUUGAGACAGCAAGAUGCCAUGACUUGAACAGAAAAUGAGCAGCAUCUUUUACUUGCUGUGCAUGCAACCUUUUCCACCUAGAGAGGUUAAACGUGAGCGGGACUUUGAGCACCUUCCCGUGGCUGCCCACCUGAGGUGGAAAGUCAUCAGCCCCGUCUGCCCAGGGCGCAGGUUCCCUCUCUCCCUCCAAGCACAAUUACAAUUCAUGGGUUCAUUCCCACUCUCCCUACCUGGGAAUCGGGUCCGUGAAGCAGGUUUGGGAGGGGAGGACGUUGGUAGGCUGAAGGCCAAGGAAUAUCUUCCUCCCUGGUCCGUGCACUGCAUAUCUGCUGCUGCUGCUCUGUUCCCAAGAGAUUCCUUGGAUUUUCCCUGCAAGAAUCCCAGUCCCUGAGCCAUCCCCCCAGCAUCCUGUAGCUCUGCAAAUAAUACAAAUAAUGUUCUGCUGUCUUUUUUCCAAGUACCAUUUGAACAUAUGUUUUAUGUGGAGAUGCUGAUGGACAGCAACAUCUGCUGCUCCCAGCCAGCUCGCUCACUCUUAUUUGGAUUGUAAUUACUUCAUCGGCUGCGAUCCGUGUCCUGUGUUUGCCCACUAUCUGUUUCUGUCAGGUCUUCGUCUUCUACAAACUACCCAUUAUGUAGCGAUGAUAAUUAAAUCUCCCUUCGCCAGGCAGGUCUGAGCAGUGCAAGAAGGGCCUCCUUGUCCGUGCAGCUGCCAAAGAAGAUGCAGCUUGUAAUGAUGCCUUAAUCACCUGCCUGCUAGACAAUGGCUGGGACCACCUAUUUGUUUCAAACGAGCUAUUUUAGCAGCUGUCAGAUGCUAAUGGCUUUCAGCUGCUGACAACCUGUGCCCUAUGCAAACCAGGGGACAUAUCAUGGAAACGUGCAUAAAUAUUCAUGCGGGACUAACAAAACCAAAAGUGCGAGUAUGGUUAUCGGAGCUCUUGCAUGAAUAUGUUGCAGCCAGCCCUGUUGUGUUGGGUUUAGUGUGAUGAAUGCAGGGCGAAUGUCUUGAAGUAAUGUUGCCUUUUUUAAGUUUGUGAGAAAAAAAAGCCCAUCGAAGGUAGUGGGGUUGCGGGGGUGCGUGAGUAAGAGCAGGAUUUGUGCCCCUGGAUAAUGCAGGCAUUUCCAGAUCAGCAUUGCUGUCUGUCGUGGGUGAUGCGCUCAAACUGGUUAUGGAGAGAAAGGAGUUGCUUUGUUUAAUUGCUCUGUUUGCAUUUCUCUUCUGAGCCUGCGUAUGAAGAAUUGGAAGUUUCUCACCACAUCCGUGCUAGAUGCUUAACGAACACAAGGAGCCAGUGAUUAAGGGCAGUGGUUUAGCUUUUAAAUUAAUUACCUAAUUUCAAGAACAGGAAAGUAUCUGUGGUCAAGACUUGAUAAUUUCCCUCUGUUCUAGCAUGCUGAAGCCUCAAAGCUUUGACAUCAAAAUAGAAAUGCAGUGAGUCAGUCUCUUUAGACAAACUGUUUUAUAAAUUAAUUCUGUUGGUGUGUUGCAUGGGAUUAUUUUAAAAAUAUUUUGUUUAUAAUGUGCUUUUACUUUCCUCAGCAGAUUCUGGAUAGCCAUGCUGAGAGGGGGAUGUUCAGAUUAAAGUAUGUGAUGGGGUUGAUGAAGAAUCUGUAACAACAGAGUCAAUGGAAAAGGAUGAUGGUCCUCUUGAAACUCUUCUUUGACCUUCCUGGAGAGUGCUGUGUUUACACCAUUUAUUUUAAGUGUGAGAACUUUGUCAGAUCGAACCAUUAGCAACCGUCCGGGGAGCAAACAGCAAAACGCCCGGCACGGCUCGGGGCCGCUGUGACAAAAUGCAGUUUCUACACUUUUGCAUUUCACCACAGGAAGCGAGCGAUGAGGAGAAAUCAGCCAGGGAGAGGUGUGGCAGAUAAUUUGGCUGGCUGCAGUCCUCCUCCGGUUUUGGGCUAUGCAGUACGUACACGGACGGGCAUUUCUUCUUUCAAAGUUUUGGGAGCUCAGGCAUGGUCCGUUGCCCAGGGUAAAGCCCCCUUGAGGGGCUUUGCUGAGCCUGUUGGUGCAGAUGCAGGUUGAGGGACAAACAGCUCUUUUCUUCAAUUUACUGGAUUGCUUCCCUUCUCUGUUUUGAACUACGGAGUAAUUAUGCCCUUUGAAAAACUUUGCUUCGUUUAUCUAGUUCUUUGGAUCUAUAGUGCUACCCAGUGCACUGUAUUUGCGUCACUGAAGAAUUUUUUUACUUGUCUGAAGUUGUGUUGAGAAAUGUCUGCUGGCUUGCGUGGAGGUGAGGUUUGUGCACGUGCUUGUGUUUUCAUUUCCAAAAGUUUGCCCUGCGCAAGUCACCGUAAUAUCUACGUAAGCUCUCGAGUAUCCCGCGGUCCUGACAACAGUGGGUGGGCAUCAUCCUCCCUGCUUCUGCUGUUUCCAGCCUUGGAGAGGACUAUUUUGUGCAAGUUUUUUGUUCCCGCAUCCCCAGCUCUUCAAACCGACAAGGAAAAUAAGUAUGGGUGCUUUGGAGAGAGCUGGCUGACCAAAUCCCUGCUGGGUUUUGCCUUGUAUUACCAGUUGCUAAGAAAUGUCUGAAGGAAGCUGUCAGGUACACUUCUGUGGUGUUACUUUCCAUAUCAACGGCUGCUAGGGUCACCAAAGUGUGGCCUCAGGAGAGAGGUAGCUGCCCCCAGGGUCAGGAACAGCAGGGAGGUGUCCCAAGCUGGUACCAGCAGCGACUUUCAAACAGACAGUCAGGAACUCAUGACGUGGGCUCUCCUGGGCAUGGUCUGUGCCAGGACACGUGCGUGGAGAGUUCCUCUUGCCUCCUGGCUACUCCGCUUGGUUCCGCGUGGACUUGGGAAGUCCCAUGUUUUGCAAUCCCGGCACACAGAGUGGGAAUCAGGUGCCUUGAUAAGUGAUGGAGUGCCUCAGAGCAGGGGUUUCACCUGCCCAAAGCUUUGGUUGUUUCUAUGGCUCAAAUACGUGUGGGUUUUUUCAUUGGUUUUGUUUUUUUCUGCGGUUCCUAAGCUGUGGGUGAGCGAGCGCUGUGACACCAGGCAGCCAGCUUUCAGUGGCAGCAUCCCAGAAAUGCUGGUUAAUCACUAGUUUAUUAGCUUACAGCCUUAGGCAAACCUGAAAUCAUUAACAGCCCAUUUGUUGGGCUAAUGACUCUUUUCUACCAGUUGUAUAAUUUAAUAUAUGGUAACUUUCAUGCUUAAUUAUGCUCUUCAAAGCUUCUUUUGAAGGAAUUUAUUUUUCUGCAUGCAUGUAUAUAAAAAGCUUGGGAGCUGGCUGGCUUUGCUUGCAUGCUACUCUGUGUUAAAAUCUAUAGUUUAUUUAAGAAGAUUUUAAUUUAGAUAUGGUUAUUUCCUCCUUUGCUUGUUCUCUCAAUAUUUUUAUCUUUGAGUGUUUGAAAAAAUAAAUAAUGAUGAAUUACCGGCAUGUUUAAAAUGGCAUCAUUUUAUGCCCCAUUGUAGCUUGCUACAUUGUUUUGGACAAGACGUAAACCCAAAGUCCUGAUCAACAGGGCCAUUGUGCCAGCAGUUUCCAAAUGAAUGCCAGUCUUGAUCUCAGUGUCCUGGCCGUGUUCCAGCCUGGUUCACAUUUUACUCAACGGCAAGUCCCACUUCUGUUCUCGCUAACCUCAGUGGGAACAGAGAGAGACGACUGUAAAGUGCUGCUAAUCCCACGUGCCAUUUGCAUGCAGCACUUGUAAAGCGUUCUGGGAUCAGUUUGGAUGAAAAAGGCCAUGCGUGUAAGAUGCUUUUCAUUGGCAUCCCAAAUCCGGUACUGUAUCAAUGAAAGAAGGUUAUGACUUUGUCAAUUGGGAUAAUUUUUUUUGAGCUAGGCAGC
Molecule: long non-coding RNA, 8172 nt
Organism: Grus americana (Whooping crane)
Lineage: Eukaryota; Metazoa; Chordata; Aves; Gruiformes; Gruidae
Exons: 5
Source: RefSeq, a predicted model, not a curated record